Molecule: RNA transcript, 2242 nt
Organism: Amphimedon queenslandica
Lineage: Eukaryota; Metazoa; Porifera; Demospongiae; Haplosclerida; Niphatidae
Exons: 3
Source: RefSeq, a predicted model, not a curated record
UCUAUUGCCAAUUAUUAUUAUUAGUUAAUUGACUUAAUUCUGGUGCAGCAAAUUCCCGUUCUUCUUUAACAUGACUUACGACGGUGACAGUGCCAAUCCUCGGGAUUUAGCUGACGUUAACAGCAAUCUGUCUAUCAAAAAGUACUGGGAAAAAGAAGAAGAGUAUUUAAAUGAUUGGAAACUGAGAGCGAGGAAUGACAAAGACUUUUUGGAACGGCUAACAAAAGAACUUUCAAAGAUAAACCGGCUUGAUUUAAUUCGAGAGUUACUGAACGAUCCAGUGAUAAAAAGAUCAAUAAAGAAAGAAAGCAGUAACGAACACGAACUCCCACUACCACAUCAUAAAAGUAAAGCUACGUUACUUAAGUCAAAAUGCUGUGUUGUUGUCUACUCUUUACUAAUGAUACUACUAAUGGUUUUAUUGGCCUUAAGUAUACUCCCGAUGUUGUUUAUGAUUGAUGUCUCACACACUGCUCUUUAUAAGGAAAAAAAUGCUGAUAGAAUAGUCGGUGAAGGGGAUUCUGUUUCAACGUACACAUUAGAUAAGAAAUACGUAAACACGAUUGAAAUAUCUGAAAAAGUCGAAAAAGGUGACAGCAAACAUAGUGUGACACUGGUUCUGGUCCCAACAGCUAAACUACAAUAUGACGUAAUCUAUGAAUCAGAGUCUUGGAAUGCAACAGCCUAUGUUCCUGAUUUCCCAAUUAUUAAUAAUAUCUAUGUAUAUCUCAAUGCUCGAUCCAAAGUAAAUUUCAACAUCUGGAUUGGUAAUGGCAAAAAUAAAAAAUCCGCUACACUAUACAUAUUUGAUGACAUUGAUAACUUGAAUGACUAUAUCAGGUACAGCGAAGUGAAGUCACCUGUAUUUACAAAGGAAAUACCAGUUGAAGGGAAAAAUGGAAAGCAAAUACCACAAAAUUAUCUUUUUACAUCUCCAGCUGAUGGAUAUUACUACAUUAUUCUGCUAUCGCCAGAAGCUAACAUCCAAUUUUCAUACAACGUUAACACAACCGAACUAGUUACUGAUGUUGAUCAAUACACUUCUGACUACCCAUCCUGUGUGAUUGAUACGGAAAGAAAUUGUACACUCACAACUAGCAAUGCUAAGCAUCCAAGUAGUGAGAAUCUUACUUUAUUAGCUGCUGCAUCAACCAAAUACGACAUCAGUAGCAAAAUCACUCACAUUCACUUGAAGUUUACGAAUCGUUCCUAUUUGAUGGCACUACCCAGUAUCAUCUUUGGAAUUACAGCGGGUAUUGCAGUAUUAAUACUCAUUAUAUUGCUUUCUAUUGCAGUGAGUGUAGUUUGUAUGAAGAGGAAGAGUCAUAGAGCAGGAUAUGUCUCUAUAAAUUAGAAGUUUGAUGUUUUGAUUAUUAUUAGUAUAUCAGUAUUAUUUUCUGGGUGAAUUUGUUUUUCUUGAUAUCAGUUGUAUCAAUGAUAGUAUGUAGUGUAACCUGAUAAUCUAAAAUGAUAACAAUAAUCUUUCAUAUAGUGGGUGGUACAGCUUUGUUAAGUCACUACUAGACCCUGGCCCUUAGGGAGUAUCAACACAAAAGAUAUGGGGAAUUGCUGUGGGUGCAGGUCAGAGGAGAGGCUUAGAUCACCAGUGUCAAAGGAGGGAAAGGAAAUUUCAUUUACAGAGGAAGUGGAGGAGCAGCAAAAGCCCCUAGUGGGUGAUCCUGAGCCAACUCCAAAGAGAAAUUCCCUUGGAAUCGAUGAUGCUGUUGUAAUUGACAUUGUGUACUAUGAGGAUCCAACCCCAGCAGUACCUGGAAGCUGUACCAAAGUAGAUGAAGAUAGUGUUGAGCUUGCUGCCACUGAAACAACUGGGGCCACCUUUGACUGUGACCAUGCCACUGAACAAAUUCGUCAAUGUUUAGAUAAAACUGUUCAAGUUAGUAUUACCAAGGUGACAGGAUUUAAGAAAAGAUGUGAAACGGGUUUUACUAAACCCAAGACAAUAAUAAAGGUUACAGUGGCACCAGAGACUCAGAGUCAAUGGCCGGAUGAUGGUUCGACACUUGAAGGCCAAUUGAAAACAAAAAUUGAAACUGAAUGGAAUUCCCAGCUUAAAAAAGACUAUUUUGCUUUGAUUACUAUGAAAAAACAACAAUGUUGAAGACUAAUAGGCUACAUGUUCACAAUAUUGAGUGUAUAACACUGACUAUACAAACAGCUUAACUGCAAUAUACUCCAAAUCAUUGGAUUUUUGUCACUUUUUAAAGAGAUUUUUAUACUAUUA